UGUGUGUUAGUGGAAGCGUCUGGAAAGGCGCGCGAUACAGGGUGACAGCCCCGUACACAAAAAUGCACAUGCUGUGAGCUCGAUGAGUAGGGCGGGACACGUGGUAUCCUGUCUGAAUAUGGGGGGACCAUCCUCCAAGGCUAAAUACUCCUGACUGACCGAUAGUGAACCAGUACCGUGAGGGAAAGGCGAAAAGAACCCCGGCGAGGGGAGUGAAAAAGAACCUGAAACCGUGUACGUACAAGCAGUGGGAGCACGCUUAGGCGUGUGACUGCGUACCUUUUGUAUAAUGGGUCAGCGACUUAUAUUCUGUAGCAAGGUUAACCGAAUAGGGGAGCCGAAGGGAAACCGAGUCUUAACUGGGCGUUAAGUUGCAGGGUAUAGACCCGAAACCCGGUGAUCUAGCCAUGGGCAGGUUGAAGGUUGGGUAACACUAACUGGAGGACCGAACCGACUAAUGUUGAAAAAUUAGCGGAUGACUUGUGGCUGGGGGUGAAAGGCCAAUCAAACCGGGAGAUAGCUGGUUCUCCCCGAAAGCUAUUUAGGUAGCGCCUCGUGAAUUCAUCUCCGGGGGUAGAGCACUGUUUCGGCAAGGGGGUCAUCCCGACUUACCAACCCGAUGCAAACUGCGAAUACCGGAGAAUGUUAUCACGGGAGACACACGGCGGGUGCUAACGUCCGUCGUGAAGAGGGAAACAACCCAGACCGCCAGCUAAGGUCCCAAAGUCAUGGUUAAGUGGGAAACGAUGUGGGAAGGCCCAGACAGCCAGGAUGUUGGCUUAGAAGCAGCCAUCAUUUAAAGAAAGCGUAAUAGCUCACUGGUCGAGUCGGCCUGCGCGGAAGAUGUAACGGGGCUAAACCAUGCACCGAAGCUGCGGCAGCGACGCUUAUGCGUUGUUGGGUAGGGGAGCGUUCUGUAAGCCUGUGAAGGUGUGCUGUGAGGCAUGCUGGAGGUAUCAGAAGUGCGAAUGCUGACAUAAGUAACGAUAAAGCGGGUGAAAAGCCCGCUCGCCGGAAGACCAAGGGUUCCUGUCCAACGUUAAUCGGGGCAGGGUGAGUCGACCCCUAAGGCGAGGCCGAAAGGCGUAGUCGAUGGGAAACAGGUUAAUAUUCCUGUACUUGGUGUUACUGCGAAGGG
RNAcentral lists this ribosomal RNA (1138 nucleotides) under Escherichia coli. RNAcentral's name for it is "partial 23S ribosomal RNA". It matches the Rfam family "Bacterial large subunit ribosomal RNA", at positions 323 to 1468 of the family's 2925-position model. Lineage: Bacteria; Pseudomonadati; Pseudomonadota; Gammaproteobacteria; Enterobacterales; Enterobacteriaceae. The record is from RNAcentral.